RNAcentral lists this long non-coding RNA (452 nucleotides) under Dromaius novaehollandiae (emu). RNAcentral describes it as "lncRNA (ENSDNVG00000016120.1)". The record is from RNAcentral. Lineage: Eukaryota; Metazoa; Chordata; Aves; Casuariiformes; Dromaiidae.
UUUAGAUUGGUGAAUAGAGUGAUUCAUGCUGUGUGUGGUGGUGGUGGGGAAGUGGCAGUCUUUAAAAGCUCUUUUGUGUUAGCCUCUGGGUGAACAGAGAUAUACGUACAUUUGCACACUGAGCAUACGACACUUUCAUAUUCUAGACCUGCACGAAUCAUCUUUAUAAGCAACCAGAGGAAGAUGAUGGUGAAGAGGUGCCAGAAUUUCAGGUGUCUGGGAAAAUCGGAGCAAAGAAACAGAGGAAAUUAGAAGAGAAACAAGCCAGAAAAGCGCAGAGAGAGGCUGAAGAAGCAGAGCGAGAAGAACGGAAAAAACUUGAGUCAAAGAGAGAGGAGGAAAGGCGGAAAGAAGAGGAGAGAAUACGUCUUGAAGAAGAACGACAGGUGGGAUUGGUUGUAACUUGUAGAUGGAAAUUUUGAACCAAAUUUGACUUUGUAACAUUACUUUUC